This 357-nucleotide long non-coding RNA is filed under the name Capsella rubella. RNAcentral describes it as "long non-coding RNA (CRUB_LNC003123)". The record is from RNAcentral. Lineage: Eukaryota; Viridiplantae; Streptophyta; Magnoliopsida; Brassicales; Brassicaceae.
CCGCUUAUGCUAUAAUCGGUGUGUCUCUCUCUUUCUCGUCGUCAUUGCUGUCGCAUUUCUUCUCAACUUGGGUGGAGACUUUUCGUUUUCCGACAAAAAAACAGGGAAAUACGAAACGUCGUUUAAGGUUGAGUUAUGACACAUUGCGGCUGAGUUAUGGUACAUUACGGCUGAUUUAUAUUAUGACUUAUUGUAAGUUACGGCUGAGUUGUGGUUUUUUUUGUCAUUGUUCACGUACAGGAAAAAAAUAUCUCUACCUCGGCGAUUCCGGCGAAGAACCCUAAUUCUCGUCGCUUCUCUCUCUCUCAUCUCUUUCGUCCGCUUCGACUCAUACCGACGAGUCUCUCUCUCUCUCUC